This 1220-nucleotide long non-coding RNA is filed under the name Chrysemys picta bellii (western painted turtle). RNAcentral's name for it is "lncRNA (ENSCPBG00000002661.1)". Lineage: Eukaryota; Metazoa; Chordata; Testudines; Emydidae. The record is from RNAcentral.
CAUUAAAUGGGCCGUCAGACCCACGGGGGGGCUCAUAUGGGACCCCGAGGAAAAGGGGGCAGAGAGACCGGCGGCGAGCGAGCACAUCCUGCCAGCAGAGCCCUGGCCCUGGCCCCUCUGAAUCCUAACGUCACCUUUGUCUGUCUGUUAGUCUAUAAGGUGCCAUAGGACUCCUUGCUGCUUUUACAGAUCCAGACUAACACGGCUGCCCUUUGAUACUUGACAACGUCUCCUGUGUGACCCACGGGUCGGACCCCCCAGGUAGCACCCAGGGCCACAGACUUGCCCCGAGUCCUCCCCAGAGCCGAGCCCAGUUGUGGCUGACGGAGAGUCCGCCUGCCCCCGGGGGGCGGUUCUGGUCACUGUGAGACGUGUCUCGCCCCCUUGGCCGGGGUCACGCUGUCUGGGCUGGACGCCAGAGCCCACUAUUAAAUAUUUGCUCCCGCACCGCGGUGGUAUUCGCACCGGCCUCGCAUCGCCCCUGCACCAGCUCUGGGUUCAGCUCCGGGCAGCUCCUGCGCUCUGCCCGGGUUUCGAAUCCUUCCCGUGGCCGUUCUCCGAGCCGGAUCCGCACGCCAAGCCCCCAAGCACGUGGUCCGUGGGCCAGGCCGGCUGCCCGGAGCUCACCCCCAGGAGCAGGUGGGCAGGAGCCCGGAGGUCCUGCCCCGGGGGGUUGGAGGCCCCAGGGGACGGACGAGCGGGACCCCUUGAGGGUCUGGCCGGAGCACGGCACAGACCCGGUGGGGCCACGGUGCUGCCCCGAGAGACGGAUGCUGCUGCGCACCUCAGUGUGCAAACACGCGCGCCCUGCGCCGGAGACACGUGCAAUGCGGCACGCCAGCGUCCCGGAGAGAAACACCCUCCCCGAACCCUGCACGCCUGGAGGGACGCAGAGAACCGCGGCGCAGACCCCAGCCCCGGGGCACAAAGACACGCGGCCCCAAGGAGCCAGCAACACAAGCACAGAGCCGGGGAGUCUGGCUCGCACGGCGACCCAGUGCCAACGUGGAGACACAUGUGCCCCUGGAGACCUCGCACGGCCGCACGGACACAGGCCAACAACUGCACACAGACACACUGACAGUAACACACACACGUCUGCAUGCCACACUGACACACUAACCGCACACACACACUGACACUAGCACACAUAUAUGUGCACACACUGACACACUAACACAUUGGCACUAACACACACACCUCUGCGCGCACACAUGGAC